UCUCUGCUAGUAUAUCGGUUAGUACACGCGCCUGUCAUUCUUUGUAUUUGAUGAUUGCAAACGCGCGAAAGCUGGGUUCGACUCCCAGGCAGAGAG
RNAcentral lists this transfer RNA (96 nucleotides) under Termitomyces sp. T159_Od127. Its description in RNAcentral is "tRNA-Asp". Lineage: Eukaryota; Fungi; Basidiomycota; Agaricomycetes; Agaricales; Lyophyllaceae. The record is from RNAcentral.